AAAAGUUGGGGAGACCUGACGCUGAAAGAUGGACUCGCGUCCCAUUAGCUAGUUGGUAGGGUAAUGGCCUACCAAGGCGACGAUGGGUAGCCGGCCUGAGAGGGUGGCCGGCCACACUGGGACUGAGACACGGCCCAGACUCCUACGGGAGGCAGCAGUGGGGAAUUUUGCGCAAUGCUCGUAAGAGUGACGCAGCGACGCCGCGUGAAUGACGAAGGCCUUCGGGUCGUAACGUUCUUUCGACAGGGAAGAAAAUGCCUAUAAGUAACUGUGUAUGUAUUGACGGUACCUGUAUAAGCAGCCCCGGCUAACUCCGUGCCAGCAGCCGCGGUAAUACGGAGGGGGCGAGCGUUGUUCGGAGUGACUGGGCGUAAAGAGCACGUAGGCGGUGUUGUAAGUCAUUAGUCAAAGACUAGAGCUCAACUUUAGUAAGGCUAGUGAUACUAUAAUACUAGAGUAUCAGAGAGGAUUGCAGAAUUCCUGGUGUAGCGGUGAAAUGCGUAGAUAUCAGGAGGAAUACCGUUAGCGAAGGCGGCAAUCUGGCUGGAAACUGACGCUGAGGUGCGAAAGCGUGGGUAGCAAACAGGAUUAGAUACCCUGGUAGUCCACGCUGUAAACGAUGGAUGCUAGGUGU
RNAcentral lists this ribosomal RNA (634 nucleotides) under uncultured bacterium. RNAcentral's name for it is "bacterial SSU rRNA". It matches the Rfam family "Bacterial small subunit ribosomal RNA", at positions 202 to 823 of the family's 1533-position model. The record is from RNAcentral.